CAACCAUUACGCGGACAUUGUCCAAACACAGAGUGCGGAUGAAGCAGCUCUACACUGUUCCCUUUGAGAGGAACAGUGAGAGGGUCAAGGAGCUACGACGACAAUAUGUCCAGAGAGUUAUGGAAUUGGAGGCCAACCAGGCCCCUCAUGAAUUCAUAUACAUCGAUGAGGCAGGAUUCAAUCUGGCCAAAAGGCGUCGACGUGGACGAAAUGUAAUUGGAAAAAGGGCCACAGUUGAUGUGCCAGGACAGAGAGGGGCAAACAUUACCAUGUGUGCAGCGCCUGGUUCCAGAGCAGGGUCAGGAGGGUGAAAACAUGAGGACCUUUGUAAUUACCUGGGACAAUGUGGCUUUCCAUCACUCGCAAGCAAUAACAACAUGGUUUGAAGUCCACCCAAGACUGGUAAGUCUCUUCCUUCCACCCUAUUCACCUUUCCUCAACCCCAUAGAGGAGUUCUUUUCUGCAUGGAGGUGGAAGGUUUAUGACCAUCAGCCACAUGACCAGAUGUCCCUCCUUGAAGCCAUGGAUGCUGGCUCCAGGGACAUCACAGUUGACGAUUGCCAAGGGUGGAUCCGACAUACCAGGCGGUUUUAUCCCAGGUGCAUCGACUUGGAUAACAUCAGAUGUGAUGUUGAUGAAAACAUGUGGCCUAACCCUGAAGAUCGCAGAGAUUAGAUGCAAAGUUUUUGCCUUUUUUUAGCCCCCCUCCCCCCCUUUUUAUCUUGGCUUUUUGCUGUUGUUUUUUUGUUCAGAAUGCU
Molecule: long non-coding RNA, 758 nt
Organism: Astatotilapia calliptera (eastern happy)
Lineage: Eukaryota; Metazoa; Chordata; Actinopteri; Cichliformes; Cichlidae
Source: Ensembl